UGAGACCGGCUUUUUGGGAUUCGCUCCACCUUACGGUAUCGCAGCCCUCUGUACCGGCCAUUGUAGCAUGCGUGAAGCCCAAGACAUAAGGGGCAUGAUGAUUUGACGUCAUCCCCACCUUCCUCCGAGUUGACCCCGGCAGUCUCCCAUGAGUCCCCGGCAUAACCCGCUGGCAACAUAGGACGAGGGUUGCGCUCGUUGCGGGACUUAACCCAACAUCUCACGACACGAGCUGACGACAACCAUGCACCACCUGUGUACGAGUGUCCAAAGAGAACCCCGUCUCGGGGGCUUUCUCGUACAUGUCAAGCCUUGGUAAGGUUCUUCGCGUUGCAUCGAAUUAAUCCGCAUGCUCCGCCGCUUGUGCGGGCCCCCGUCAAUUCCUUUGAGUUUUAGCCUUGCGGCCGUACUCCCCAGGCGGGGCACUUAAUGCGUUAGCUGCGGCACGGAACUCGUGGAAUGAGCCCCACACCUAGUGCCCAACGUUUACGGCAUGGACUACCAGGGUAUCUAAUCCUGUUCGCUCCCCAUGCUUUCGCUCCUCAGCGUCAGUUGCGGCCCAGAGACCUGCCUUCGCCAUCGGUGUUCCUCCUGAUAUCUGCGCAUUCCACCGCUACACCAGGAAUUCCAGUCUCCCCUACCGCACUCUAGUCUGCCCGUACCCGAUGCAAGCCCGAGGUUGAGCCUCGGGAUUUCACACCAGACGCGACAGACCGCCUACGAGCUCUUUACGCCCAAUAAUUCCGGACAACGCUUGCGCCCUACGUAUUACCGCGGCUGCUGGCACGUAGUUAGCCGGCGCUUCUUCUGCAGGUACCGUCACUUGCGCUUCUUCCCUGCUGAAAGAGGUUUACAACCCGAAGGCCGUCAUCCCUCACGCGGCGUCGCUGCAUCAGGCUUGCGCCCAUUGUGCAAUAUUCCCCACUGCUGCCUCCCGUAGGAGUCUGGGCCGUGUCUCAGUCCCAGUGUGGCCGGUCGCCCUCUCAGGCCGGCUACCCGUCGACGCCUUGGUAGGCCAUCACCCCACCAACAAGCUGAUAGGCCGCGAGCCCAUCCCCCACCGAAAAACUUUCCAACCCACACCAUGCGAUGCGAGCUCAUAUCCGGUAUUAGACCCCGUUUCCAAGGCUUAUCCCGAAGUGGAGGGCAGGUUGCUCAC
RNAcentral lists this ribosomal RNA (1159 nucleotides) under uncultured bacterium. RNAcentral's name for it is "partial 16S ribosomal RNA". The record is from RNAcentral.